RNAcentral lists this long non-coding RNA (410 nucleotides) under Mytilus galloprovincialis (Mediterranean mussel). Lineage: Eukaryota; Metazoa; Mollusca; Bivalvia; Mytilida; Mytilidae. The record is from RNAcentral.
AAAGAUACCCGAGAGUGAAACGCCAAAUAUUCAACUAAGGACAAAGCAGCUAUGGCAUUAGGCAAUGAAAACAUGUACAUUGUAUUUUCAAAUAAUUUUAUUUUCAACAAAAAAUAACAUGCAUUUCAACAAUGUUUAACAGCAACAAAAAAUGUCAGAAUAAUUGCAAAACCCCGAAUCAAAGAAAAACAAUUUUAAAAUGUAAAGUCAUGCACAACCCCUUUAUGCAAUAACACCAAAAAAAAUAUCAAUAAAAAAAUAUGUUCAUAUAAAAAAAAAAUCGCUUAACGAUAAAACACAACUUUAAUAUAAUGCACCAGCGGUUAUUCAGCAGGACACACAUUUCACGGCGAUACAAGCAGUAUGUUCAUAUAAAACAAAAGUCUUUAAAAAUAUACAUUUGUCACAAC